GAACGUAGUUCAGUGGUAGAACAUCACCUUGCCAUGGUGGGGGUCACGGGUUCGAGUCCCGCCGUUCGCUUUGCCA
This 76-nucleotide transfer RNA is filed under the name Oenococcus oeni. RNAcentral describes it as "tRNA-Gly". It matches the Rfam family "tRNA". Rfam says of the family: Transfer RNA (tRNA) molecules are approximately 80 nucleotides in length. The record is from RNAcentral. Lineage: Bacteria; Bacillati; Bacillota; Bacilli; Lactobacillales; Lactobacillaceae.